RNAcentral lists this ribosomal RNA (253 nucleotides) under uncultured bacterium. RNAcentral's name for it is "partial 16S ribosomal RNA". It matches the Rfam family "Bacterial small subunit ribosomal RNA", at positions 524 to 776 of the family's 1533-position model. The record is from RNAcentral.
UACGUAGGGUGCAAGCGUUGUCCGGAUUUAUUGGGCGUAAAGAGCGCGUAGGCGGUCCGGUAAGUCCGCUCUGAAAGUCCGGGGCUCAACCCCGGGAGCGGGCGGAUACUGCCGGGCUAGAGUCCGGAAGAGGCGAGUGGAAUUCCUGGUGUAGCGGUGAAAUGCGCAGAUAUCAGAGGAACACCGGAUGGCGAAGGCAGCUCGCUGGGACGGUAACUGACGCUGAGGCGCGAAAGCGUGGGGAGCAAACAGG